UGGGGAAUAUUGGACAAUGGGCGAAAGCCUGAUCCAGCCAUGCCGCGUGUGUGAAGAAGGUCUUCGGAUUGUAAAGCACUUUAAGUUGGGAGGAAGGGCAGUAAGCGAAUACCUUGCUGUUUUGACGUUACCGACAGAAUAAGCACCGGCUAACUCUGUGCCAGCAGCCGCGGUAAUACAGAGGGUGCAAGCGUUAAUCGGAAUUACUGGGCGUAAAGCGCGCGUAGGUGGUUCGUUAAGUUGAAUGUGAAAGCCCCGGGCUCAACCUGGGAACUGCAUCCAAAACUGGCGAGCUAGAGUAGGGCAGAGGGUGGUGGAAUUUCCUGUGUAGCGUUGAAAUGCGUAGAUAUAGGAAGGAACACCAGUGGCGAAGGCGACCACCUGGGCUCAUACUGACACUGAGGUGCGAAAGCGUGGGGAGCAAACAGG
This 429-nucleotide ribosomal RNA is filed under the name Pseudomonadota bacterium. RNAcentral describes it as "Proteobacteria bacterium partial 16S ribosomal RNA". It matches the Rfam family "Bacterial small subunit ribosomal RNA", at positions 355 to 776 of the family's 1533-position model. The record is from RNAcentral. Lineage: Bacteria; Pseudomonadati; Pseudomonadota.